UACAGAGGUCUCAAGCGUUGUUCGGAUUCAUUGGGCGUAAAGGGUGCGUAGGCGGCGCGGUAAGUCGGAUGUGAAAUCUCGGAGCUUAACUUCGAAACUGCAUUCGAUACUGCCGUGCUUGAGGACUGGAGAGGAGACUGGAAUUUACGGUGUAGCGGUGAAAUGCGUAGAUAUCGUAAGGAAGACCAGUGGCGAAGGCGGGUCUCUGGACAGGUCCUGACGCUGAGGCACGAAGGUCAGGGGAGCAAACGGG
This 253-nucleotide ribosomal RNA is filed under the name uncultured bacterium. Its description in RNAcentral is "partial 16S ribosomal RNA". It matches the Rfam family "Bacterial small subunit ribosomal RNA", at positions 524 to 776 of the family's 1533-position model. The record is from RNAcentral.